GCCAAUUAAGUGUUAUCCACUCUGCACGUUGACUUUUCACGUCAAAAGAGCACAUUAGUGCACUUGGUU
Molecule: transfer RNA, 69 nt
Filed under: Potamilus alatus
Lineage: Eukaryota; Metazoa; Mollusca; Bivalvia; Unionida; Unionidae
Description: tRNA-Glu
Source: RNAcentral